Molecule: non-coding RNA, 98 nt
Filed under: Pseudonocardia thermophila
Lineage: Bacteria; Bacillati; Actinomycetota; Actinomycetes; Pseudonocardiales; Pseudonocardiaceae
Description: TPP sequence
Rfam family: TPP riboswitch aptamer (THI element)
About the family: Vitamin B(1) in its active form thiamin pyrophosphate (TPP) is an essential coenzyme that is synthesised by coupling of pyrimidine and thiazole moieties in bacteria. The previously detected thiamin-regulatory element, thi box was extended, resulting in a new, highly conserved RNA secondary structure, the THI element, which is widely distributed in eubacteria and also occurs in some archaea.
Source: Rfam by way of RNAcentral
GGGCACGACACGGGGUGCCCGGAACCGUCCGGGCUGAGAGCACACCCGUCGAACCUGAUUCAGGUCAUGCUGACGAAGGGAUGUCGCCAUGGUGGCCG